GAUGAAGAACGUAGCGAAAUGCGAUACUUGGUGUGAAUUGCAGAAUCCCGUGAACCAUCGAGUCUUUGAACGCAAGUUGCGCCCGAAGCCAUCAGGUUGAGGGCACGUCUGCCUGAGCGUCACAUAUCGUUGCCCAAUGCCUAUUGCAGUGCAAUAGGAAUUUCUAGGGCGAAUGAUGGCUUCCCGUGAGCGUUGUUGCCUCGCGGUUGGUUGAAAAUCGAGUCCUUGGUAGGGUGUGCCAUGGUAGAUGGUGGUCGAGUUAGAACGAUACCGAUCAUGUGCAUGCUCCCCAAAAUAUGGCCUCUAUGACCCACACGCGUCUUUUGACGCUCAUGACGAGACCUCAGGUCAGGCGGGGCUACCCGCUGAAUUUAAGCAUAUCAAUAAGCGGAGGA
This 395-nucleotide unclassified non-coding RNA is filed under the name soil metagenome. RNAcentral describes it as "partial contains 5.8S ribosomal RNA, internal transcribed spacer 2, and large subunit ribosomal RNA". The stretch from base 1 to 122 matches the Rfam family "5.8S ribosomal RNA", at positions 35 to 154 of the family's 154-position model. The record is from RNAcentral.